AUGAAAAAGGAUCUUGUCUGUCAAACAGGGCUUCACGGCAUCCUUCAGCUGAAGUUAACUAAAGUUAACAGACAGUAUGGCGCAUGGCUUCUGAGCAAGAUUGAUGUUGAUUCAUGUGCCAUCGUAGCUGAUCUUCAUAAAGUGACCCCCUUCUCUGCGAGGGACGUUAAUUCAGUCUUGGGUGUACCAUGCAGCGGGAGAACCAUUGAGACCUGUAACCAAGAUGAGGUAGAACGGAAUAAGAGGAUUCUUUGUGAUAUUUUUGAGGUUCCACACUUUUCACAGGUUACUGUUAAGUUUUUGGAGGCAAUUCUUAAUAAACAAUAUUCAUAUCCGAUGAGCUUAAAGGACCAACGAUCGUUCAAGGCGGCAUUUGUCCUUUAUGUCAUGACAAAGUUCUUGGCUCCGCAAUCACUAGCAAACUACAUUUCCACAAGGUAUAUCAGCGCAGUAGCUGAUAUUGACAAUAUCUCGUCAUACAACUGGGCACAGUUCAUCGUCGACGACCUCAUGAAUUCUGCCAGCUUGAUGCCCAAACGAUUUCAUAAUUCUUCUCAAGUAUCAAUUAACGGGUGUAUACUAUUCCUCCAGGUGUGUGUUCACAUUAUAAUCACAUUUUCCUUCGUACGACCCUGCACUAUUACACACCAUGUACCUAAUUGCAGAUAG
Molecule: ribosomal RNA, 669 nt
Filed under: Triticum aestivum (bread wheat)
Lineage: Eukaryota; Viridiplantae; Streptophyta; Magnoliopsida; Poales; Poaceae
Description: partial small subunit ribosomal RNA
Source: RNAcentral